AUACGGAGGGGGUUAGCGUUGUUCGGAAUUACUGGGCGUAAAGCGUGCGUAGGCGGACUAUUAAGUCAGAGGUGAAAUCCCGGGGCUCAACCCCGGAACUGCCUUUGAUACUGGUAGUCUUGAGGUCGAGAGAGGUGAGUGGAAUUCCUAGUGUAGAGGUGAAAUUCGUAGAUAUUAGGAGGAACACCAGUGGCGAAGGCGGCUCACUGGCUCGAUUCUGACGCUGAGGUACGAAAGUGUGGGGAGCAAACAGGAGUAGAAACCCUAGUAGUCC
This 274-nucleotide ribosomal RNA is filed under the name uncultured bacterium. RNAcentral describes it as "partial 16S ribosomal RNA". It matches the Rfam family "Bacterial small subunit ribosomal RNA", at positions 523 to 796 of the family's 1533-position model. The record is from RNAcentral.